GUAGGUGGCAAGCGUUGUCCGGAAUUAUUGGGCGUAAAGCGCGCGCAGGCGGUUCUUUAAGUCUGAUGUGAAAGCCCACGGCUCAACCGUGGAGGGUCAUUGGAAACUGGAGAACUUGAGUACAGAAGAGGAAAGCGGAAUUCCACGUGUAGCGGUGAAAUGCGUAGAGAUGUGGAGGAACACCAGUGGCGAAGGCGGCUUUCUGGUCUGUGACUGACGCUGAGGCGCGAAAGCGUGGGGAGCAAACAGGAUUAGAUACCCUGGUAGUCCACGCCGUAAACGAUGAGUGCUAAGUGUUAGGGGGGUUUUCCGCCCCCCUUAGUGCUGCAGCUAACGCAUUAAGCACUCCGCCUGGGAGUACGGCCGCAAGGCUG
RNAcentral lists this ribosomal RNA (374 nucleotides) under uncultured organism. RNAcentral's name for it is "partial 16S ribosomal RNA". It matches the Rfam family "Bacterial small subunit ribosomal RNA", at positions 527 to 896 of the family's 1533-position model. The record is from RNAcentral.